RNAcentral lists this ribosomal RNA (412 nucleotides) under uncultured bacterium. RNAcentral's name for it is "bacterial SSU rRNA". It matches the Rfam family "Bacterial small subunit ribosomal RNA", at positions 29 to 440 of the family's 1533-position model. The record is from RNAcentral.
AUUGAACGCUGGCGGCGUGCCUAACACAUGCAAGUCGAGCGGUAACAGGUNUAGCAAUACAUGCUGACGAGCGGCGGACGGGUGAGUAACGCUUGGGAAUCUGCCUGUUAGUGGGGGACAACCCGGGGAAACUCGGGCUAAUACCGCAUACGCACUACGGUGGAAAGCCGGGGACCGCAAGGCCUGGCGCUAACAGAUGAGCCCAAGUCGGAUUAGCUAGUUGGUAGGGUAACGGCCUACCAAGGCGACGAUCCGUAACUGGUCUGAGAGGACGACCAGUCACACCGGAACUGAGACACGGUCCGGACUCCUACGGGAGGCAGCAGUGGGGAAUAUUGGACAAUGGGCGAAAGCCUGAUCCAGCGACGCCGCGUGGGUGAAGAAGGCCUGCGGGUUGUAAAGCCCUUUCAGU